Molecule: long non-coding RNA, 263 nt
Organism: Herpailurus yagouaroundi (jaguarundi)
Lineage: Eukaryota; Metazoa; Chordata; Mammalia; Carnivora; Felidae
Exons: 3
Source: RefSeq, a predicted model, not a curated record
UGCUCUUCUGAUCAAAAUAAGCCAGCACGCCAAGUACACUUGCUCCUUCUGUGGCAAAACCAAGAUGAAAAGACGAGCUCUGGGGAUCUGGCGUUGUGGUUCCUGCAUGAAAACCGUAGCAGGUGGUACCUGGACCUCCAACACCACUUCUACUGUCACAGUAAAGCGGGCUAUCAGGAGACUGAAGGAGUUGAAGGACCAGUAGAAGCUCCACCAUUUGAAACAUUGCUUACUUAUAAUAAAUGGGUUAAUUGAUAUAACAA